This 207-nucleotide ribosomal RNA is filed under the name uncultured bacterium. RNAcentral describes it as "partial 16S ribosomal RNA". It matches the Rfam family "Bacterial small subunit ribosomal RNA", at positions 568 to 774 of the family's 1533-position model. The record is from RNAcentral.
CGUGUAGGCGGCCAGGUAGGUCCGUUGUGAAAACUCGAGGCUCAACCUCGAGACGCCGGCGGAAACCCUUUGGCUAGAGUCCGGAAGAGGAGAGUGGAAUUCCUGGUGUAGCGGUGAAAUGCGCAGAUAUCAGGAAGAACACCCGUGGCGAAGGCGGCUCUCUGGGACGGCACUGACGCUGAGACGCGAAAGCGUGGGGAGCAAACA